This is a long non-coding RNA of Panicum virgatum (switchgrass), 547 nucleotides long. RefSeq lists it as uncharacterized. The record is from RefSeq and is a predicted model, not a curated record. NCBI's taxonomy places the organism in Eukaryota, Viridiplantae, Streptophyta, Magnoliopsida, Poales, Poaceae. The transcript is spliced from 2 exons.
ACGCCGUCCACGCGUAACUACGCCGCCCCGCAGCCGUUUCGGCGCGCGUCACCGUGCUCCGGCCGGUCGCCGCCGCCACUGAACUGGUGCCCUGGGAGGAUGAGAGAGGAAGAAGUGCGACCAAUGCAAGGCGCCUUUCGCUUUGGAGACGGUGAGCUCGUCGGGGUACCCCGCCCACCCCACCCUCCGGGAUUUGCGACUUGCUGAUUCGUAGGAGACCCCUGGUCUGUGGUCUCCAUUUGUUUCCUCCGAGAGACGAGGCUGGCCUAACAAUACAUCAGCAUUGUCGUAAAGACAUUCAGAGUCCAAAUGGUGAUAUGUAAAUAAAGAAAAUAAGUUAUACAAUUUAGAAUUCUAAAUCCUUUUUGGAUAGAUCUUACAUAUUCAACAGAGAGCUGCAAUAGCCAAUAGCUUCAAUACUCAAGUACCCGAUAUUUAGACAAAUAUGUUACUACCCUGGAUUGUAAUAUAGUAUACUCUGUAAACUUGCUGCUAGGCAUGCACUCAUGAAUAAUUUGCUUGUAAUACAGUUAAAAAUCUUCUUUUU